RNAcentral lists this ribosomal RNA (777 nucleotides) under Staphylococcus sp. X41-CRBM-E14. RNAcentral's name for it is "bacterial SSU rRNA". It matches the Rfam family "Bacterial small subunit ribosomal RNA", at positions 56 to 817 of the family's 1533-position model. Lineage: Bacteria; Bacillati; Bacillota; Bacilli; Caryophanales; Staphylococcaceae. The record is from RNAcentral.
UGCAGUCGAGCGACGGAUAAGGAGCUUGCUCCUUUGAAGUUAGCGGCGGACGGGUGAGUAACACGUGGGUAACCUACCUAUAAGACUGGGAUAACUUCGGGAAACCGGAGCUAAUACCGGAUAACAUUUAGAACCGCAUGGUUCUAAAGUGAAAGAUGGUUUUGCUAUCACUUAUAGAUGGACCCGCGCCGUAUUAGCUAGUUGGUAAGGUAACGGCUUACCAAGGCGACGAUACGUAGCCGACCUGAGAGGGUGAUCGGCCACACUGGAACUGAGACACGGUCCAGACUCCUACGGGAGGCAGCAGUAGGGAAUCUUCCGCAAUGGGCGAAAGCCUGACGGAGCAACGCCGCGUGAGUGAUGAAGGGUUUCGGCUCGUAAAACUCUGUUAUUAGGGAAGAACAAAUGUGUAAGUAACUGUGCACAUCUUGACGGUACCUAAUCAGAAAGCCACGGCUAACUACGUGCCAGCAGCCGCGGUAAUACGUAGGUGGCAAGCGUUAUCCGGAAUUAUUGGGCGUAAAGCGCGCGUAGGCGGUUUCUUAAGUCUGAUGUGAAAGCCCACGGCUCAACCGUGGAGGGUCAUUGGAAACUGGGAAACUUGAGUGCAGAAGAGGAAAGUGGAAUUCCAUGUGUAGCGGUGAAAUGCGCAGAGAUAUGGAGGAACACCAGUGGCGAAGGCGACUUUCUGGUCUGUAACUGACGCUGAUGUGCGAAAGCGUGGGGAUCAAACAGGAUUAGAUACCCUGGUAGUCCACGCCGUAAACGAUGAGUGCU